This 206-nucleotide ribosomal RNA is filed under the name uncultured bacterium. Its description in RNAcentral is "partial 16S ribosomal RNA". It matches the Rfam family "Bacterial small subunit ribosomal RNA", at positions 337 to 560 of the family's 1533-position model. The record is from RNAcentral.
UCCUACGGGAGGCAGCAGUCGGGAAUUUUGCGCAAUGGGCGAAAGCCUGACGCAGCAACGCCGCGUGAGGGAUGAAGGCCUUCGGGUUGUAAACCUCUUUUCUCAGGGAAGAUUAUGACGGUACCUGAGGAAUAAGCCACGGCUAACUACGUGCCAGCAGCCGCGGUAAUACGUAGGAGGCGAGCGUUAUCCGGAUUUACUGGGCG